CGGCGGACGGGUGAGUAACACGUGGGUAACCUACCUAUAAGACUGGGACAACUUCGGGAAACCGGAGCUAAUACCGGAUAAGAUAUCGAACCGCAUGGUUCGAUAGUGAAAGAUGGUUUUGCUAUCACUUAUAGAUGGACCCGCGCCGUAUUAGCUAGUUGGUGAGGUAACGGCUCACCAAGGCAACGAUACGUAGCCGACCUGAGAGGGUGAUCGGCCACACUGGAACUGAGACACGGUCCAGACUCCUACGGGAGGCAGCAGCCC
RNAcentral lists this ribosomal RNA (267 nucleotides) under uncultured Staphylococcus sp. RNAcentral's name for it is "partial 16S ribosomal RNA". It matches the Rfam family "Bacterial small subunit ribosomal RNA", at positions 96 to 355 of the family's 1533-position model. Lineage: Bacteria; Bacillati; Bacillota; Bacilli; Caryophanales; Staphylococcaceae. The record is from RNAcentral.